GUUGGUACUCCCUACUGAGUUGGACACUUCGCAGGACACUGGGUCUGUAAAGUAGGAGUGAUCCACCGUAACCUCCAGGCUGUCGCCAUUGGCCUCCGAUAUGGGAAUCCCACCUUUGGCCCAUCUGUUUGAAAAAUGGGUUGGCAGAGGCAGAGCAAAUGAACAACACUUUUGCUCCUUCCAUCACCGUCUGAGGCUGAACAGACAGAGUCACAGACGGAGGAUCUGGAGGAAAACAUGUGGGAUUAGAUUCACUGCAGCAAUAGAGGCAUUACAAAUCCUUCCCAAUGACUUUACUGCCAAGCUCCAGGCGACAAGACUUUGGAUGAAAGAAGCAGAAGGCGAAGGUCUUAUGAUCUUAACAUGUUUCCUUUGAACGCCGUCUUAUGGGACGCGCCAACCCCAAGCCAAAGGUUUCAAAAACAGCGCAGAGAUUACUUGGAAUACCGAUGGCACAGCGCAGCAGAAUUCAGCAGGGAAACGGAGGGACAUUCCGAGAAAGCAAAUUAAGGCUGGAAAACAGAGGAUGCAGAGCUUUGGUAAGGGCAUGCACAUGAAUAUCUGGCGCUGGGGGCUUCAAGCCUGUCAUGUUCUGCGCUUCAGUCUCUGCUCUUUGCUUCCAGUUCUAAGCCUCGGCUCUGUCGGAUACUCUGGAAGUAUGUGUGUGUGUGUGUGUGUGUGUGCGAGAGAGACAGACAUAGAUGACAAACCAGGGGGAUACCAAGAGAUAAAGCGAAUGUGUGUUCGCGCUUUUUCGGGUCUGCACUGGGUGAGGAUGUAAGUGAGCUUAUGUGUUUAUGUGAACCAGGACAUGUUUUCUCUCUCUAUCCAUCCAUCUCUCUAUCCAUGUGCUGUUAUUUGGAAAGGGAGCUGGUGAGUCAGAUGUGAGCUGCUGGUGGUUGUUCAGAGUGUGCUGUGCUGCUUGUAUAGAUGUCAGGUGAGAUGAGUGGCUCAGGCUGUCCGGGAGCCUCUCCGCUCCUCCCAAAACAGCUGCCACCAGUCUGUCAGAGAAACGCUCGGCUACAUCCUAUUCUUCCCUGUCUCCACCUCCCUCAGUCUUACACACCCACUUAAUGAUGAGAAAAACAUCUCGGGGGUUCAGCCGGGGUCAGAAACUUGAUUUACAGCUUGGUACUUUACACAAAGACAAUUAUUAAAGAUUUAAAAAAAACUGCAAACAUAUACCCAAGAUAUACCCAACUAGGCAAAAGUUAAUUGGAGAAUUGCUUUAUAUCCAUUUUACCGGGAAGGCAUUUGUAUAUAUAUAUAGUUUGUGUGACAUGCCAUGCAUUUAGAUACAACAUUUCAUUUUAAUUACCGCCUCCAUCCGUGUCAAUAAGCCGGCCUCAUUUAUCAAAGAGAGAGACAGAAAGCUCAGCUUAACCGUCAAUACACAUUUGUUUUUCAUUCGUUUACUGAAGCGUCGACCAAAAGGGCUUUGCCUCACUCUCGGUUACGCCAUGUUAAUUGGGAAAAGAAACACUUUCGGAUCUGAGAGGACUGGGGAAUUUAAAGCCUUUAUUUUGAGUUGAAUCAAAGCCAGUGUUAAAAAUACACUUAAUAAAUUAAAUAUUUGUUAAAAGGCGUGGAAACAACUGGCGCACUGUCCAAAAAUAGGCCAGGCUUAAGUAGCUCUCACAGCUUUUGUUCCCGAACAACCUUUCAGUAUAAAAAGUUCUCAAAUUAACCAUUUAUAUACUCUCUAGAGCCAAAAGGUGUUGUGGAUAUCAAAGAAUCAAAAUCUCCCGACAAAGAAUAUUUAGAUACACUUAUAAAAAUGAACGUGCUACAAAAGUUUUCUUCACAGUGAACUAUUUUUGGUUCCUUAAAGAACCAUUCGGACAAAGUUUCUUAAAUUAACCAUAAUGUUAUAGUCUAAAUAAUACAAAGAACCUUUAAUGCAAAAGAAAAUUAAAGAUUCAUGGAACCAUACAACAAAAAUGGUUCUUCUAUGGCAUCGUGUAGCACCUUUAUUUUUAGGAGUGAACCUUAAUUUUUGAAAGUGCAGAAAAUAGCGCCGCCUUUGGUGCUGAACAGACAUAGCAGAAGUGAGCACGGCACGAGAUUGGGAGUUUAGAAAGAGUAUGAGCUUCCAAACGUGAUGCUGAAAAGACAACAACAACAGCAAAACAACGCCAGAUUACAUUGGGUUAGUCUCUCUGCUGGUUUGCAAAUAAUUCAAAUUGCAUGCUGUAGUACAGUGACGUUUCAGUUUGGGUUUUGUGUAAAGCCCUGCACGGUGUCACUGCAGUGUUGACAGUCUCCAUCUGAAACAAAGAGGCAGCGCGCUGAGUGCAGCAAGCGACAGCCAGCGCUUCCACACUCGAUAUGUAUCGGAAUAACGUGAGAUGCUCGCGGCCAAUGCAAAAAGUACAGAAUAAUGAAUAAAUCAACACUGCGACGACAAGAGUAAUCUUUAAGAUCCCGCGCAUUCCGGGCUCCCCAAAGACUGCAUCGAGAAGCGUCGCACCUCUGCGCGCGCGCGUAACGGCAGCAUUUAUAUUUAUUUAAUGCCGUUAAAUUAUUCUGUUUGAGACAGGAGAUGCUUUGAGAUCUUCCUGUUGGCGUUGGCUGUGAAAUUAUUAAGAGGCGCUUGUGUUUUCGAGGCAGGAGACUGCGAUCAGCGCAUCUCUUAUGCAGCGGACCCCUGGCUUUUAACACACUUUUAAUACACAAACGCACACUGCGCUCGUAUCGCUCAUCGGAACCUCAGACGGGUGUUAGCCGAUAGAGCCAUUAUCAUGGUCACACCUGGGUCUCUCUUAAACUUUAAGUGACUGGUGUGCUCUUUUCAGUGCUCCAUCUCACUAAAAGUGCCACUGGAUGUCUCACGCCUCUUAUGGAGAGUCAGUACGCACGCACAUACAUACAGUAAUGCAUCAUUAUAGCAUUUGAAAGAAACGCACCCACUUGUUCUAGUGUACUAAUUAUGCUCUCUGUGCAUAUCAUUAAAGUUAGCACACAUGCAUACUUUCUCGCGUAGCACUGUUUUGGGAGAUCAUUAUAUGUAAGUUACUGAGUUUGAGCACAUCCAAACAGCUAUUUAAAACUGUACAUAAGCAAUGCAGAUUGAAAAAUGCUUCAGUGCGCAUUAUAUCAAAUAAGUAGUAUGUUGAAUGCUUUUAAGUUUAUUCACAAAUUAGCCAUGUUCGCAUUUGGCGCAGUGCCACUCGCUCGCCGUUGCUAAAACACACCACAACGGUCUCUCUCUCGGACCUCAGCUCACAAAUGAAAUUAUGACACACUUAAUUUUAAUGCGGCAACUUUGCCUACUUUAACGCAGAGCGAAGUGAACAAUGGGUACGCGUUCGGUUACCUUAUCUCACUGCGUUAUGAUGAAGUUGACGCAUCGACUACUACAACACCACCAGUUGUUAUCAUCACAGCAGUUUUAAAAACCAGAAAACACUGUAAAU
Long non-coding RNA from Misgurnus anguillicaudatus (oriental weatherfish), 3416 nucleotides. RefSeq lists it as uncharacterized. Lineage: Eukaryota; Metazoa; Chordata; Actinopteri; Cypriniformes; Cobitidae. The record is from RefSeq and is a predicted model, not a curated record.